AUUUAUUUGAUGAAUGUAUGAGAAUACUAUUUGGAUAACCGUAGCAAUUCUAGAGCUAAUACAUGCAACGACGCCCGACCGUUUCACUACGGAAGGGCUGUAUUUAUUGGAUACCAAAACCAUCCUUCCCUCGGGAAGUUUUGUUUGAUGAUUCACAAUAACUGAUCGGAUCGCCACUGUGGUGGCGACAGGUCAUUCAACAUUCUGCCCUAUCAGCUUUCGAUGGUUGUGUAGUGGACAACCAUGGCCAUAACGGGUAACGGAGAAUCAGGGUUCGAUUCCGGAGAAGGAGCUUGAGAAUUGGCUACUACAUCUAAGGAAGGCAGCAGGCGCGCAAUUACCCAAUCCCGAUUCGGGGAGGUAGUGACAAAAAAUAACAAUACCGGGCCUUUUUGGGCUUGGUAAUUGGAAUGAGGGAGAGUUAAACGGACCAUCGAGUAUCCAUUGGAGGGCAAGUCUGGUGCCAGCAGCUGCGGUAAUACCAGCUCCAAUAGCGUAUAUUAAAGUUGUUGCAGUUAAAAAGCUCGUAGUUGGACUUGUGUGCGCUGUCCGCGGGUGGCCUGCGCCCAAAAGGGCGUUUCGGUUCGGCCCCGGUGGCGCCUUGAAAUCUGCAGCUGGGGGGACGUUGGCCUUAACUGGUCGGCGACCGCACGCCGGCUGCUCGGUUACUGUGAGAAAAUUAGAGUGUUCAAGGCAGGCAUUGGGUGCAAUUGAAUACGUUAGCAUGGAAUAAUAAAAUAUGGCUCCUGCCGUAUUUUGUUGGUUUUGACUGGUGGGAGUAAUGAUUGAUAGGGACGGUUGGGGGUGCUAGUAUUGAGCGGCCAGAGGUGAAAUUCAUGGAUUCGCUCAAGACUAACUUAUGCGAAAGCAUUCACCAAGGACGUCCUCUUUAAUCAAGAACGAAAGUUGGGGGAUCGAAGACGAUCAGAUACCGUCGUAGUCUCAACCAUAAACUAUGUCGACUUGGGAUCGGCGGUAGUUUUUUCAUUAAGACACUGUCGGGACCACGGGAGAAAUCAAAGUGUCUGGACUCUGGGGGAAGUAUGGUCGCAAGGCUGAAACUUGAAGGAAUUGACGGAAGGGCACCACCAGGAGUGGAGCCUGCGGCUUAAUUUGACCCAACACGGGGAAACUUACCAGGUCCAGAGAUGUAGAGGAUUGACAGAUUGAAGCUCUUUCUUGAUCACUUCGGUGGUGGUGCAUGGCC
RNAcentral lists this ribosomal RNA (1207 nucleotides) under metagenome. Its description in RNAcentral is "SSU rRNA". It matches the Rfam family "Eukaryotic small subunit ribosomal RNA", at positions 115 to 1289 of the family's 1831-position model. The record is from RNAcentral.